GAUGAAGAACGUAGCGAAAUGCGAUAAGUAAUGUGAAUUGCAGAAUUCAGUGAAUCAUCGAAUCUUUGAACGCACAUUGCGCCCCUUGGUAUUCCGAGGGGCAUGCCUGUUCGAGCGUCAUAUUAACCACUCCCGCUUGCGGGGUCUUGGGCUUCGCCUCCGGGCGGGCCUUAAAAUUAGUGGCGGUGCCGUCGGGCUCUACGCGUAGUAAAUUUUCUCGCGAUAGGGUCCCGGUGGAUGCUUGCCAACAACCCCCAACUUCUUAAGGUUGACCUCGGAUCAGGUAGGGAUACCCGCUGAACUUAAGCAUAUCAAUAAGCGGAGGA
Molecule: unclassified non-coding RNA, 326 nt
Filed under: soil metagenome
Description: partial contains 5.8S ribosomal RNA, internal transcribed spacer 2, and large subunit ribosomal RNA
Rfam family: 5.8S ribosomal RNA (bases 1-120)
Source: RNAcentral